CGAAAGCCUGACGGAGCAAUACCGCGUGAGGGAUGAAGGAUUUUGGUCUGUAAACCUCUUUUCUCAAGAAAGAAGUUCUGACGGUACUUGAGGAAUAAGCAUCGGCUAACUCCGUGCCAGCAGCCGCGGUAAUACGGGGGAUGCAAGCGUUAUCCGGAAUCAUUGGGCGUAAAGCGCCUGUAGGUUGUUUAGUAAGUCUGUUGUUAAAGACCAGGGCUUAACCCUGGGAAAGCAAUGGAAACUACUAGACUUGAGUAUGGCAGGGGUAGAGGGAAUUUCUAGUGUAGCGGUGAAAUGCGUAGAUAUUAGAAAGAACACCGGCGGCGAAAGCGCUCUACUGGACCAUUACUGACACUCAGAGGCGAAAGCUAGGGGAGCAAAAG
Molecule: ribosomal RNA, 383 nt
Filed under: uncultured cyanobacterium
Lineage: Bacteria; Bacillati; Cyanobacteriota
Description: bacterial SSU rRNA
Rfam family: Bacterial small subunit ribosomal RNA
Source: RNAcentral